UAGGGAAUAUUGGACAAUGGGCGAAAGCCUGAUCCAGCAAUGCCGCGUGAGUGAUGAAGGCCUUGGGUUGUAAAGCUCUUUUACCCGGGAUGAUAAUGACAGUACCGGGAGAAUAAGCCCCGGCUAACUCCGUGCC
This 136-nucleotide ribosomal RNA is filed under the name uncultured bacterium. Its description in RNAcentral is "partial 16S ribosomal RNA". It matches the Rfam family "Bacterial small subunit ribosomal RNA", at positions 355 to 509 of the family's 1533-position model. The record is from RNAcentral.